This 716-nucleotide ribosomal RNA is filed under the name uncultured organism. RNAcentral describes it as "bacterial SSU rRNA". It matches the Rfam family "Bacterial small subunit ribosomal RNA", at positions 78 to 792 of the family's 1533-position model. The record is from RNAcentral.
GCUUGCUGAACACACGAACGGCGCACGGGUGAGUAUCGCGUAUGCAAUUACCUCUAACUGGAGGAUAGCGCGAAGAAAUUCGGAUUAAUACUCCAUAAUGUCAUUUAAUCGCAUGAUUUUAUGAUUAAAGCUACGGCGGUUAGAGAUGAGCAUGCGUGUCAUUAGCUAGUUGGUGAGGUAACGGCUCACCAAGGCUGCGAUGACUAGGGGUUCUGAGAGGAUGAUCCCCCACACUGGUACUGAGACACGGACCAGACUCCUACGGGAGGCAGCAGUGAGGAAUAUUGGGCAAUGGGCGCAAGCCUGACCCAGCCAUGCCGCGUGCAGGAUGACUGCCCUAUGGGUUGUAAACUGCUUUUAUACGGGAAGAAUGGUUCCUACGUGUAGGAAUUUGACGGUACCGUAAGAAUAAGCAUCGGCUAACUCCGUGCCAGCAGCCGCGGUAAUACGGAGGAUGCAAGCGUUAUCCGGAUUCAUUGGGUUUAAAGGGUGCGCAGGCGGAGUAUUAAGUCAGUGGUGAAAUCCUGCAGCUUAACUGUAGAACUGGCAUUGAUACUGAUAUUCUUGAAUAUAGUUGAGGUGGGCGGAAUGUGUAAUGUAGCGGUGAAAUGCUUUAGAUAUUACACAGAACACCGAUUGCGAAGGCAGCUCACUAAACUAAUAUUGACGCUGAGGCACGAAAGCGUGGGGAGCGAACAGGAUUAGAUACCCUGGUA